UAUGGCUGUCGUCAGCUCGUGUCGUGAGAUGUUGGGUUAAGUCCCGCAACGAGCGCAACCCUCGUCCUAUGUUGCCAGCGAGUAAUGUCGGGGACUCAUAGGAGACUGCCGGGGUCAACUCGGAGGAAGGUGGGGAUGACGUCAAAUCAUCAUGCCCCUUAUGUCUAGGGCUGCACGCAUGCUACAAUGGUCGGUACAAAGGGCUGCGAUACCGCAAGGUGGAGCGAAUCCCAAAAAGCCGGCCUCAGUUCGGAUUGGGGUCUGCAACUCGACCCCAUGAAGUCGGAGUCGCUAGUAAUCGCAGAUCAGCAACGCUGCGGUGAAUACGUUCCCGGGCCUUGUACACACCGCCCGUA
Molecule: ribosomal RNA, 356 nt
Filed under: uncultured soil bacterium
Lineage: Bacteria
Description: bacterial SSU rRNA
Rfam family: Bacterial small subunit ribosomal RNA
Source: RNAcentral